GAAAUACAUAUAGUCCACUUUUUGCAUUACAGAGAUGAUAUUAGACUUUGCUGCAAAAUGAGCUCAGGUUGCAGUGCCAUCCAGAACUGGAAGUGAUGCUGAGCUGGUCCUGAUGCAGUUUUGAACUGAUGUGGAAGCAGCGACAGGGGCAGCAAUGAGGACAUUACUGGAGAUGCAGCUAGAGAUGAGGAAAGAGGCAUUUCAGUCCUCAGAGGAGGAGCAGCACUCUGAGGA
This is a long non-coding RNA of Carcharodon carcharias (great white shark), 234 nucleotides long. RefSeq lists it as uncharacterized. The transcript has 3 exons. The record is from RefSeq and is a predicted model, not a curated record. NCBI's taxonomy places the organism in Eukaryota, Metazoa, Chordata, Chondrichthyes, Lamniformes, Lamnidae.